UACGUAGGUGGCAAGCGUUGUCCGGAUUUACUGGGUGUAAAGGGCGUGUAGUCGGGCUGACAAGUCAGAUGUGAAAUCCGGGGGCUCAACCCCCGAACUGCAUUUGAAACUGUUGGUCUUGAGUAUCGGAGAGGCAGGCGGAAUUCCUAGUGUAGCGGUGAAAUGCGUAGAUAUUAGGAGGAACACCAGUGGCGAAGGCGGCCUGCUGGACGACAACUGACGGUGAGGCGCGAAAGCGUGGGGAGCAAACAGG
This 253-nucleotide ribosomal RNA is filed under the name uncultured bacterium. Its description in RNAcentral is "partial 16S ribosomal RNA". It matches the Rfam family "Bacterial small subunit ribosomal RNA", at positions 524 to 776 of the family's 1533-position model. The record is from RNAcentral.